GUUGAACGCUGGCGGCGUGCCUAAUACAUGCAAGUCGAGCGAACGGACGAGAAGCUUGCUUCUCUGAUGUUAGCGGCGGACGGGUGAGUAACACGUGGAUAACCUACCUAUAAGACUGGGAUAACUUCGGGAAACCGGAGCUAAUACCGGAUAAUAUUUUGAACCGCAUGGUUCAAAAGUGAAAGACGGUCUUGCUGUCACUUAUAGAUGGAUCCGCGCUGCAUUAGCUAGUUGGUAAGGUAACGGCUUACCAAGGCAACGAUGCAUAGCCGACCUGAGAGGGUGAUCGGCCACACUGGAACUGAGACACGGUCCAGACUCCUACGGGAGGCAGCAGUAGGGAAUCUUCCGCAAUGGACGAAAGCCUGACGGAGCAACGCCGCGUGAGUGAUGAAGGUCUUCGGAUCGUAAAACUCUGUUAUUAGGGAAGAACAUAUGUGUAAGUAACUGUGCACAUCUUGACGGUACCUAAUCAGAAAGCCACGGCUAACUACGUG
Molecule: ribosomal RNA, 497 nt
Filed under: uncultured bacterium
Lineage: Bacteria
Description: partial 16S ribosomal RNA
Rfam family: Bacterial small subunit ribosomal RNA
Source: RNAcentral